UGGGGAAUAUUGCACAAUGGGCGCAAGCCUGAUGCAGCCAUGCCGCGUGUGUGAAGAAGGCCUUCGGGUUGUAAAGCACUUUCAGCGAGGAGGAAGGUGGUGGACUUAAUACGUUCAUCAAUUGACGUUACUCGCAGAAGAAGCACCGGCUAACUCCGUGCCAGCAGCCGCGGUAAUACGGAGGGUGCAAGCGUUAAUCGGAAUUACUGGGCGUAAAGCGCACGCAGGCGGUUUGUUAAGUCAGAUGUGAAAUCCCCGGGCUCAACCUGGGAACUGCAUUUGAAACUGGCAAGCUAGAGUCUCGUAGAGGGGGGUAGAAUUCCAGGUGUAGCGGUGAAAUGCGUAGAGAUCUGGAGGAAUACCGGUGGCGAAGGCGGCCCCCCUGGACGAAGACUGACGCCCAGGUGCGAAAGCGUGGGGAGCAAAACAGGAUUAGAUACCCUGGUAGUCCACGCUGUAAACGAUGUCGAUUUGGAGGUUGUGCCCUUGAGGCGUGGCUUCCGGAGCUAACGCGUUAAAUCGACCGCCUGGGGAGUACGGCCGCAAGGUUAAAACUCAAAUGAAUUGACGGGGUC
RNAcentral lists this ribosomal RNA (575 nucleotides) under uncultured bacterium. Its description in RNAcentral is "partial 16S ribosomal RNA". It matches the Rfam family "Bacterial small subunit ribosomal RNA", at positions 355 to 920 of the family's 1533-position model. The record is from RNAcentral.